This 435-nucleotide ribosomal RNA is filed under the name uncultured bacterium. RNAcentral's name for it is "partial 16S ribosomal RNA". It matches the Rfam family "Bacterial small subunit ribosomal RNA", at positions 28 to 507 of the family's 1533-position model. The record is from RNAcentral.
GAUGAACGCUGGCGGUAUGCUUAACACAUGCAAGUCGAACGGACUCUUCGGAGUUAGUGGCGGACGGGUGAGUAACGCGUGAGAAUCUGGCUUUGGGUUCGGGACAACCACUGGAAACGGUGGCUAAUACCGGAUGUGCCGAGAGGUAAAAGAGAAAUUGCCUGAAGAUGAGCUCGCGUCUGAUUAGCUAGUUGGUGAGGUAAAGGCUCACCAAGGCAGCGAUCAGUAGCUGGUCUGAGAGGAUGACCAGCCACACUGGGACUGAGACACGGCCCAGGCUCCUACGGGAGGCAGCAGUGGGGAAUUUUCCGCAAUGGGCGAAAGCCUGACGGAGCAAUACCGCGUGAGGGAAGAAGGCUCUUGGGGUGUAAACCUCUUUUCUUAGGGAAGAACAAAAUGACGGUACCUAAGGAAUCAGCAUCGGCUAACUCCGUG